Molecule: ribosomal RNA, 164 nt
Filed under: Hoya bella
Lineage: Eukaryota; Viridiplantae; Streptophyta; Magnoliopsida; Gentianales; Apocynaceae
Also listed under: 34 other names
Description: 5.8S ribosomal RNA
Rfam family: 5.8S ribosomal RNA
About the family: 5.8S ribosomal RNA (5.8S rRNA) is a component of the large subunit of the eukaryotic ribosome. It is transcribed by RNA polymerase I as part of the 45S precursor that also contains 18S and 28S rRNA. Functionally, it is thought that 5.8S rRNA may be involved in ribosome translocation.
Source: RNAcentral
UACACGACUCUCGGCAACGGAUAUCUAGGCUCUCGCAUCGAUGAAGAACGUAGCAAACUGCGAUACUUGGUGUGAAUUGCAGAAUCCCGUGAACCAUCGAGUCUUUGAACGCAAGUUGCGCCCGAAGCCAUUAGGCCGAGGGCACGUCUGCCUGGGCGUCACGC